RNAcentral lists this ribosomal RNA (411 nucleotides) under uncultured bacterium. RNAcentral describes it as "bacterial SSU rRNA". It matches the Rfam family "Bacterial small subunit ribosomal RNA", at positions 96 to 507 of the family's 1533-position model. The record is from RNAcentral.
CGGCGUACGGGUGCGGAACACGUGUGCAACCUACCUUUAUCUGGAGGAUAGCUUUCGAAAGGAAGAUUAAUACUCCAUAAUAUAUUGAUUGGCAUCAAUUAAUAUUGAAAGCUCCGGCGGAUAGAGAUGGGCACGCGCAAGAUUAGGUUAGUUGGUGAGGUAACGGCUCACCAAGACGAUGAUCUUUAGGGGGGCCUGAGAGGGUGAUCCCCACACUGGUACUGAGACACGGACCAGACUCCUACGGGAGGCAGCAGUGAGGAAUAUUGGACAAUGGGUGCAAGCCUGAUCCAGCCAUCCCGCGUGAAGGACGACUGCCUAUGGGUUGUAAACUUUCUUUGUAUAGGGAUAAACCUCUCCUCGUGAGGAGAGCUGAAGGUACUAUACGAAUAAGCACCGGCUAACUCCGUG